This 254-nucleotide ribosomal RNA is filed under the name uncultured bacterium. RNAcentral's name for it is "partial 16S ribosomal RNA". It matches the Rfam family "Bacterial small subunit ribosomal RNA", at positions 524 to 776 of the family's 1533-position model. The record is from RNAcentral.
UACGUAGGGGGCAAGCGUUGUCCGGAUUCAUUGGGCGUAAAGAGCUCGUAGGCGGUUCAGUAAGUCGGGUGUGAAAGCUCCGAGCUCAACUCGGAGAGGCCACCCGAUACUGCUGUGACUUGAGUCCAGUAGAGGAGAGUGGAAUUCCUGGUGUAGCGGUGAAAUGCGCAGAUAUCAGGAAGAACACCCGUGGCGAAGGCGGCUCUCUGGGACGGUACUGACGCUGAGACGCGAAAGCGUGGGGAGCAAACAGG